GAACAAGAAAGACGUAAAUGAUGAGAAAGGUCGUCAAGAGCGACGUCGGAAGGGGCUGACCUUGCUUAAGAGUGCAUGGCCUUCUGAACUAGAACAACCACUAUAUGACGUUGAUCUUGUCAUAAUUUUAUGCGAGAUGAAUGACUUUAAAGAAGGAUUGUUGUUUCUGUAUGAGAAGAUGAAACUUUUCAAAGAAGUUAUUGCAUGCUACAUGCAGGUACAUGAUCAUGAAGGUUUGAUUUCAUGCUGCAAGAGAUUGGGUGAUUUGGGUAAGGGGGGUGACCCUUCUCUUUGGGCAGAUUUGUUGAAGUAUUUUGGUGAACUUGGAGAAGACUGCUCAAAAGAAGUCAAAGAAAUCCUGACAUACAUUGAGAGGGGUGAUAUCUUGCCUCCCAUUGUGGUUCUUCAGACACUUGCUAAAAACCCGUGCCUCUCUCUCUCAGUUAUCAAAGAUUACAUAGCUAGAAAGUUAGAACAUGAGUCUCAGUUGAUUGAAGAAGAUCGCAGAGCUAUGGAAAAGUAUCAGGAAGAAUCAUCAAUAAUGAGAAAAGAGAUCCAGGAUCUAAGAACAAAUGCUAGAAUAUUUCAGCUUAGCAAGUGUACUACUUGCACAUUCACCCUAGACCUUCCUGCUGUCCACUUCAUGUGUAUGCACUCAUUUCAUCAGCGAUGUCUUGGCGACAAUGAGAAAGAGUGCCCCGAGUGUGCUCCCGAGUACAGAGCCGUUCUGGAAACAAAGAGAAGCUUGGAACAAAGUUCCAAAAACCCAGACCAGUUCUUCCAACAAGUCAAGAGCUCAAAGGAUGGAUUUUCCGUAAUUGCUGAUUAUUUUGGCAAGGGGAUUAUCAGCAAAACCAGCAACGGGCCUUCUGAAGCUAAUGGAUCAAACAGUGCUUCUUCCGGCAACGAUUUCUAGCGUUUUGUCAUCACAGUUUUUGAGUACUAAAGUUGUUGAGAUCUCUCCGGCUAUAAACAAAGUUCAUUGAGCUACAUGUUCAGAAGAAUGUCAUCCAUCCUGUUUGGUGUUUAUUAGGCCACUUGUUUCUUUUAAGGUUAUUGUUGAGCUGCAGUUCUACAACUCUCUGUGAACAAAAUAAAAUUAUGUGCAGAAGAACAAUCUGAUUGAUUUGGAUAAAAUCU
Molecule: unclassified non-coding RNA, 1140 nt
Filed under: Hevea brasiliensis (rubber tree)
Lineage: Eukaryota; Viridiplantae; Streptophyta; Magnoliopsida; Malpighiales; Euphorbiaceae
Source: RNAcentral